GUGAAUCAUCAAAUUUUUGAACGCAAAUUGCACUCUCUUCGGAGAGUAUGCCUGUUUGAGGGUCAGCCUAAAAAAAAUCGACAUAGUCGCUGUUUCGCGGUGACAUUCUUCUUAAAUUUUUUCAUCUUAAACCUUUUUUUUUUAAUCUUCUUAAAAUUUUCUUUACUAUUCCACUAACUUUUCUAAUAUUUACUUCUUAUACUUUUAAUUUAUCUAUCUUUAUUAUACUUUUCCUUUUCAUCUUAUCUCUUCCAUAAAUAUUUCUUUAACUUACCUCAUACAUUUAAUAACACCCUCUUAA
Molecule: unclassified non-coding RNA, 301 nt
Filed under: Glomus sp.
Lineage: Eukaryota; Fungi; Glomeromycota; Glomeromycetes; Glomerales; Glomeraceae
Description: partial contains 5.8S ribosomal RNA and internal transcribed spacer 2
Rfam family: 5.8S ribosomal RNA (bases 1-65)
Source: RNAcentral